GACGAACGCUGGCGGCGUGCCUAACACAUGCAAGUCGAGCGGAGUCGAUCGACGGAAGCCUUCGGGCGGAAGAUGGUUGACUUAGCGGCGGAUGGGUGAGUAACGCGUGGGCAACCUGCCUCGAAGACCGGGAUAACAGCCCGAAAGGGCUGCUAAUACCGGAUGUGGUCAAAGAUCCGCAUGGAUUUUUGAUUAAAGGGGAAACCCGUUUCGAGAUGGGCCCGCGUCCUAUCAGCUAGUUGGUGAGGUAAAAGCUCACCAAGGCGACGACGGGUAGCCGGCCUGAGAGGGUGACCGGCCACACUGGAACUGAGACACGGUCCAGACUCCUACGGGGGCAGCAGUGGGGAAUCUUCCACAAUGGGCGAAAGCCUGAUGGAGCGACGCCGCGUGAGCGAAGAAGGCCUUCGGGUUGUAAAGCUCUGUCUGGAGGGACGAAGGAAGUGACGGUACCUCCGGAGGAAGCCACGGCUAACUACGUGCCAGCCAGCCGCGGUAAUAUCACGUGUA
RNAcentral lists this ribosomal RNA (510 nucleotides) under uncultured bacterium. RNAcentral describes it as "bacterial SSU rRNA". It matches the Rfam family "Bacterial small subunit ribosomal RNA", at positions 28 to 531 of the family's 1533-position model. The record is from RNAcentral.